RNAcentral lists this ribosomal RNA (301 nucleotides) under uncultured bacterium. Its description in RNAcentral is "partial 16S ribosomal RNA". It matches the Rfam family "Bacterial small subunit ribosomal RNA", at positions 509 to 807 of the family's 1533-position model. The record is from RNAcentral.
CAGCCGCCGCGGUAAUACGUAGGGCGCGAGCGUUAAUCGGAAUUACUGGGCGUAAAGCGUGCGCAGGCGGUUGUGUAAGACAGGUGCGAAAUCCCCGGGCUCAACCUGGGAAUGGCGCUUGUGACUGCAAAGCUAGAGUGCGGCAGAGGGGGAUGGAAUUCCGCGUGUAGCAGUGAAAUGCGUAGAUAUGCGGAGGAACACCGAUGGCGAAGGCAAUCCCCUGGGCCUGCACUGACGCUCAUGCACGAAAGCGUGGGGAGCAAACAGGAUUAGAUACCCGCGUAGUCCCUGUCUCUUAUAC